GGGGGGGGGGGGGGGGGGGGGGUGGGGGGGGGGGGGGGGGGGUGGGGGGCCGGGGGGGGCGGACGGGGGGGGGGGGGGUGGGUGGUGCAGGGGGACGUUGCCCGUCGGGGGGGAUCACUACUCGCAGGGUUAGCUUAUACCCCAUACGGUCUCUGGAUGAGAGCGGGGGACCGGAACGCGGCGCGCCAUUUCGCCAGCCGAUCUCCGAUUAGGUAGUUGGUGGGGUAAAGGCUCACCAAGCCAACGAUCUGUAGCUGGUCUGAGAGUCCGACCAGCCACACUGGGAAUGAGACACGGCCCAGACUCCUACGGGAGGCAGCAGUGGGGAAUUUUGGACAAUGGGCGCAAGCCUGAUCCAGCAAUGCCGCGUGCAGGAAGAAGGCCUUCGGGUUGUAAACUGCUUUUGUACGGAACGAAACGGCUCUGGUUAAUACCCGGGGCUAAUGACGGUACCGUAAGAAUAAGCACCGGCUAACUACGUG
This 482-nucleotide ribosomal RNA is filed under the name uncultured bacterium. RNAcentral's name for it is "partial 16S ribosomal RNA". The stretch from base 70 to 482 matches the Rfam family "Bacterial small subunit ribosomal RNA", at positions 27 to 507 of the family's 1533-position model. The record is from RNAcentral.